ACCGGAGUGGUGAAAUGGUAAACACAUUACUUUAAGGUUGUAAAAGUUGUGAGUUCAAAUCUCACCUUCGGUA
RNAcentral lists this transfer RNA (73 nucleotides) under Candidatus Vidania fulgoroideorum. Its description in RNAcentral is "beta proteobacterium endosymbiont of Hyalesthes obsoletus HO1-V tRNA". It matches the Rfam family "tRNA". Rfam says of the family: Transfer RNA (tRNA) molecules are approximately 80 nucleotides in length. Their secondary structure includes four short double-helical elements and three loops (D, anti-codon, and T loops). Further hydrogen bonds mediate the characteristic L-shaped molecular structure. tRNAs have two regions of fundamental functional importance: the anti-codon, which is responsible for specific mRNA codon recognition, and the 3' end, to which the tRNAs corresponding amino acid is attached (by aminoacyl-tRNA synthetases). tRNAs cope with the degeneracy of the genetic code in two manners: having more than one tRNA (with a specific anti-codon) for a particular amino acid; and 'wobble' base-pairing, i.e. permitting non-standard base-pairing at the 3rd anti-codon position. The record is from Rfam by way of RNAcentral. Lineage: Bacteria; Pseudomonadati; Pseudomonadota; Betaproteobacteria.